GUAUAGAUGGCACACACAGUUUGUUAAACGGUUCGUUUAGGUUUCAGCCUGGACCUGGUUCCUGAGGAUCCGCCUUCAGACCCCUCCCUGUCUCAGACAGACUGAGAACACAGAUCUGUUCUCACUCACUCAGCUUCCGGUAUUUCUGCCUCGCGCAGGCUGCGCAGUUUCAUCCAGCUAUGUAAUCUAUCAACUUUAAGGUUUAUAGAUUAUAGAUUUAUAGAUUAUCGAUAAGGCUCUUCAGUGAACACCGCUCGGUAGAUACCGGUCUUUGGACAUUACUUUGACAUCUGGAUCAUCGGGACCAGUUGGACUGAUCAUGUCUGUUUCAACAUCUGCGUCACUGUGGACUCUGCUGUCUCUCUGGGUCCUGGUCUCUGCCUCUGAAGUUCAGAACAUCAGAGCUGUUCCUGGACAGACCGUCACUCUGCCAUGUCGAGCUCCCAGAGACACCGACAUCAUAGUUGUAGAGUGGACCAGACCUGAUCUGGAGACAGAAGAAUAUGUCUUUUUGUACCGGGAUGAGCGGCCUGAUCCACACAAACAGCAUCCCUCUUUUCAGAACAGGGUGGAGCUGGUGGACAGACAGAUGGAGGACGGUGACGUGUCUUUGAUUCUGAAGAAUGUGAAGAGAGAGGACACAGGAAUAUACGAGUGUCGAGUCGUCCAGAGAGAAACAAACCGCAGGAAGAGAGCUACUCUGGACUCUGAGCCCAUCAUCAGCAUCAUCUACCUGGAUGUUAGACCAGAUCAGGAGAACAUCACAGCUGAUCCAGGACAGACUGUCACUCUGCCAUGUCGAGCUCCAAACACCAACAUCAAAGCUGUGGAGUGGACCAGACCUGAUCUGAAGACAGUCUUUUUGCAGCCUAAACCAGCAACCAACCAGUCUUCAGACAGUCAGAUGAAGGACGGUGACGUGUCCUUGACUCUGAAGAAUGUGACAAGAGAGGACAGAGGAAGAUACGAGUGUCGAGUCGUCCAGAGAGAAACAAACCGCAGGAAGAGAUCUACUCUGAAGACUGAGCCCAUCAGCAUCAUCUACCUGGAUGUUCCUUUACCAGAAGUGAAUCUAAAAGGCGUUCACUGUACUGAGACUGAUCCUGUUGAUACAUGAUCUGAAUCCUGCUGAACCAGUUCCAGAGAAACCACAACACACCUGAGCAACGUGACAAACAACAGUCGUAUCAGAGGUCUGAACAAACCUCGUGGGCGUUCAGGUCGGAGGACUUGACGAGUCUGACAGGUGGGUUUGUGGCGUCUGUGACCUUUUUUCUCCUGGUUAGUGUUGUCCCCUGAUGGAAACUUCACACCCUCACUGAAUUAUUUAGAACAUAAACUUGUUAUUGUGUCACUUGUUCCAGGAACCUGCGGACUGCUUUAUUUUCAUGGUGUCUUUUAUUUCAGUCUUGUUUAAUGUUAAAACAUGCCAGUGUUUUGGAUGAUUACCUUUUGUCUUAUGUCUUAUGACCAGUGUUUUUGAAAAUAUCACAGCUCAGGGAAGUUUUAGAACUAAUCACGUGAACGUUCAUGUGUCUAAAACCCAGACGUUUCCUGGUGUCCUGAGGGUAAUCCCAGAAUCUCCAAGGCCUGUUGUGUCUGUCACUGUUAUUACAUCAACCAGGACUUAAGUCUCAGGGGAAUAUAACUAUAAACUAUUUAAACACAGAGUGCAUCAUCAACUGGACCUGAUAAGGUUAUCUGAAGGCAGCACAUUGUUUGUCUUCCUGUAAGUCGACUCAUUACUGAGAACAGAAAGCAGAAGUAUGUGGUUCCUGCUGCAGAGAAAACAUGUGAACUAAACAAAGACAAACUAAGCAGAGUAAGAACCCUGAACAGACUGAUCACUCACUGUGACUCAGUUUAUAACUUCAUGAGUUAAAGCUGGAGACUCUGCAGGUUUUAUCAGAGAAUCAUUUCAGUCUGUGAGCAGCUGACCGCAGAAUAAUCCUGCCUCCUCUUAGCAUGUUCAUGCUCUGAGACCUGAUAAUGUUAAUCUGUGUGGCUGAUCUGUGCAGAGUCAGUUUGAAUAUCUGCUGUGUCUCCACCCUCAGUAACCCUGAGAGAGUUGUUUAUCACCAUCUCUCUGUCGGCACCAUUUUGUUCCCUGCUUGUUGCCUCAGGAUGCUGGCUGUAUGCCAAGAUACACAGAGUGAAGAAACGAAACUUUACUGUGAUAAUUAAAUUCCCUGGAAUGAUUCACAGAAAACAAAGUGAACUGAUGAAGUUCAGGGGAAAUUUCUGUAGAUGUUACAGUGUAGUUUAAAUGUGAAUGUAAAACAGUGAGUGCAGAGAGAGAAAACUCUGACAACACGUCUGACUUCCUGAUGCUCUGUGGUUUAUUUCAGACUCUAACACUCAGCACUGAUGUUUCCUGUUUCAGCUGCACUAACAUGAAGUCUGCACAAUCUAUAACCUUAGCUUUGUGUUGUACUGAACAAUACAUAGACUGUAGAAAAAAGACUACAUCAACCAGGACUGAAGUGUUAGGGAAUAUAACUUUAGGCUGGACUGAUGUUAGCAGCUGAUGAUAGAAAUGACCUUGUAAGGUUAACUGAAGGCAGACUGUGUCUCUUCCUGUAAGCAGACUCAUUACUGAGAGUUGAAGCAGAAGUAGGCGGUCCCUGUUACAACAAGCAGCGGAGGAAACACAUGAACUGAACUGAGACAAAAAGCAGCUCGAACAUUUUCAAACUAACCAGAGUAAGAACCCUGAGCAGACUGAUCACUCACUGUGACUUCAU
This is an RNA transcript of Lates calcarifer (barramundi perch), 2744 nucleotides long. It is a transcript of the gene named CXADR-like membrane protein, with no coding region annotated. The transcript has 5 exons. NCBI's taxonomy places the organism in Eukaryota, Metazoa, Chordata, Actinopteri, Centropomidae. The record is from RefSeq and is a predicted model, not a curated record.